GGGUGUAGUUCAGUUGGUAGAGCACCGGUCUCCAAAACCGGCUGUCGUGGGUUCAAGUCCUACCGCCC
This 68-nucleotide transfer RNA is filed under the name uncultured Treponema sp. It matches the Rfam family "tRNA". From Rfam's summary of the family: Transfer RNA (tRNA) molecules are approximately 80 nucleotides in length. Their secondary structure includes four short double-helical elements and three loops (D, anti-codon, and T loops). Lineage: Bacteria; Pseudomonadati; Spirochaetota; Spirochaetia; Treponematales; Treponemataceae. The record is from RNAcentral.